Paramuricea clavata is the source of this 467-nucleotide non-coding RNA. The record is from the annotation of a GenBank genome assembly. NCBI's taxonomy places the organism in Eukaryota, Metazoa, Cnidaria, Anthozoa, Malacalcyonacea, Plexauridae.
GCUCUUUCAAGCUUGAUGACAUUUUUGUCCAGGCAUAUAUCUAGAUCAAAAUUUCACUCAUAAGGGGAAAGGUUUAUUAGCUUGCUUUGAAUUUUACGUUAACGCAAGAUUAUAUAAGCUAACAGGCUUUUGAACAUCUUGUCCCCAAAGUCAAAAAUCACUGCAUGCAGAACUUGACUUUAAGAUUAAAUGCACCAAGAGUGACUUAACAUUUUGAGUAAAAUUACUCAAACUUAUGAGCAAAUGAGCAAAUUCACUCAAUUUUUUUAGUAAAGAUUUACUUUACUAAAAUUUAAUAUUUUAGUCAAUAUUUUUUGCAGUGAACGGUCAUUUGAAUAGGUAUAUAGACGAGUCUUUGUGAAUUUGAAAGAUGUCACUGCACUAUACACUUGAUUGAACUAGAUUUGGUGGAUUUGAUAGAUUUGAUUUGAUAUGAAUGCUGGAUUUGGUGGAUAAUCACAGGUGCA